Sciurus carolinensis (gray squirrel) is the source of this 76-nucleotide non-coding RNA. The record is from the annotation of a RefSeq genome assembly. NCBI's taxonomy places the organism in Eukaryota, Metazoa, Chordata, Mammalia, Rodentia, Sciuridae.
GGGGGUAUAGCUCAGGGGUAGAGCAUUUGACUGCAGAUCAAGAGGUCCCUGGUUCAAAUCCAGAGUCUCUUUUCCA